RNAcentral lists this transfer RNA (76 nucleotides) under Cricetulus griseus (Chinese hamster). It matches the Rfam family "tRNA". Rfam says of the family: Transfer RNA (tRNA) molecules are approximately 80 nucleotides in length. The record is from Rfam by way of RNAcentral. Lineage: Eukaryota; Metazoa; Chordata; Mammalia; Rodentia; Cricetidae.
AGAGAUAUGGCUUAGUGGUUAAAAGCCUAGCUAGUUGCUCUUCCGGAAGACCUGGGUUCAAUUCCCGAUAUCUUCA